GAUGAAGAACGCAGCGAAAUGCGAUAAGUAAUGUGAAUUGCAGAAUUCAGUGAAUCAUCGAAUCUUUGAACGCACAUUGCGCCCGCUAGUAUUCUGGCGGGCAUGCCUGUCCGAGCGUCAUUUCAACCCUCAAGCCCCCGGGCUUGGUGUUGGGGAUCGGCGAGCCUCCGCGCCCGCCGUCCCCUAAAUCUAGUGGCGGUCUCGCUGUAGCUUCCUCUGCGUAGUAGCACACCUCGCACUGGAAAACAGCGCGGCCACGCCGUUAAACCCCCAACUUCUGAACGUUUGACCUCGGAUCAGGUAGGAAUACCCGCUGAACUUAAGCAUAUCAAUAAGCGGAGGA
This 343-nucleotide unclassified non-coding RNA is filed under the name soil metagenome. RNAcentral's name for it is "partial contains 5.8S ribosomal RNA, internal transcribed spacer 2, and large subunit ribosomal RNA". The stretch from base 1 to 120 matches the Rfam family "5.8S ribosomal RNA", at positions 35 to 154 of the family's 154-position model. The record is from RNAcentral.